RNAcentral lists this ribosomal RNA (507 nucleotides) under uncultured bacterium. RNAcentral's name for it is "partial 16S ribosomal RNA". It matches the Rfam family "Bacterial small subunit ribosomal RNA", at positions 28 to 507 of the family's 1533-position model. The record is from RNAcentral.
GACGAACGCUGGCGGCGUGCCUAAUACAUGCCAGUCGAACGCAUUUUCUUUCACCGUAGCUUGCUACACCGAAAGAAAAUGAGUGGCGAACGGGUGAGUAACACGUGGGUAACCUGCCCAUCAGCGGGGGAUAACACUUGGAAACAGGUGCUAAUACCGCAUAAUUCCAUUUACUGCAUGGUAGAUGGAUGAAAGGCGCUUUUGCGUCACUGAUGGAUGGACCCGCGGUGCAUUAGCUAGUUGGUGGGGUAACGGCCUACCAAGGCUGCGAUGCAUAGCCGACCUGAGAGGGUGAUCGGCCACACUGGGACUGAGACACGGCCCAGACUCCUACGGGAGGCAGCAGUAGGGAAUCUUCGGCAAUGGACGCAAGUCUGACCGAGCAACGCCGCGUGAGUGAAGAAGGUUUUCGGAUCGUAAAACUCUGUUGUUAGAAAAGAACAAGGAUGAGAGUGGAAAGUUCAUCCCUUGACGGUAGCUAACCAGAAAGCCACGGCUAACUACGUG